This 5240-nucleotide long non-coding RNA is filed under the name Ananas comosus (pineapple). RNAcentral's name for it is "long non-coding RNA (ACOM_LNC027722)". Lineage: Eukaryota; Viridiplantae; Streptophyta; Magnoliopsida; Poales; Bromeliaceae. The record is from RNAcentral.
AAAUUUUAACAGGGCCACUUCAACAGAAUUUGAUACGAAGACUGACCAACUAUUGAUGAUGAGGUGAGUUUUACUUUUUUGUACCAACAAUUUUUUUUUUUUUUUGGAGACAAAUCAGGGUAGUAACACUAGAGUCAGAGGGUUUACAUUGCACCAAAGUAAAUUUUUGUAUUUCAAUUUGAAAUGAACAAAAGUUAGUGAGUUUUUCUGCAACAUAACAGAAACUAUAGUUUGGGCUUCCUGUACUUUUCAGUCUGUUCUCUCACAUUCAAUCAUCUCAUAGUAGUUCUUCUGCUUGCAGCGGCGAAGCAGAUAUUACUAUUCAAGAUACAAGAGUUUUUCACUUCAAACAUUAUUAUUCACAUUCGAAGCAUACACAGAACUAUCUAUGUGUACACGAGUAGCGCCUUUCUUGUUGUUAUCCAUCACACCAUACAUAAGCAGUAGCACAUUUUGAAGUUUUUCUCUACAGGUGUUUGAUGGGGGUCUAAGGGCACUUUUUCUUGCUGCUGCGGGUGGUCAAGCUGGCAUAGCAGGGGCACUGAUCGUAAUUCCCCGAAGUGCCGGGCGGGACGCAGCUGCAGCGCGCACAGCACGUUUUACAGGCUCUCAUGCAGUAAUUCAGCCUCGAUGAUAGCUGGCACCGCCCGCUGCAUGCUGAAUUGCAGUCUGAAAAUGCCAUCAGGUAGACAUUAAACUCUUCCAUGAUUCCAUCAUUAUGCUUGCAUAGCUUACAGUAGGGAAUAUACCUUUGACUGAUAUUAAAAUUGUAGAAAAUCGAAUAUUCAGGUUUGUGUCAUUAUUAUGCUUAGAAUGAGAAGGAUUAGGUCCUUAAUGAAAGGAUUAGGUCCUUAAUGAGAGUAAACUAAAAAAUAGUCUUAAAUAUUGGUAGAUAAUGCUAGAGAAUUUGGCUCUUUUUUCUCCUGGUUCUAAUGUUUGUCAGUUAUAGUUGCAAUUAUUCCUAUUUUAUAGAAAAUAGAGAGGGUGAUAUAAUUUUUCUCAUUGUAUUGCUGCAAAUGACAAUGCAACAAAUUUCUCAUUGACUCUUAAAUAAAUGGUGAGUUUAUUUGUUAUUGAAGGCAUUUUAAAAUAUUAAGGAUGUUAGGCAUCUAAUCAAUUAUUAAGGAUGCCUCAGCUAUGUUUUGCUGCCUUGCAUGUCUACAUUAGAGCCGUCGAUGAGCCGAACACGAGCAACCUCGUCAAAACACCGAGCUGAAAAAUCUAGCUCGUGUUCGCCUUGUUUAUUAACAAGCCGAACACGAACUGGCUCACGAACAACAAGUUAGAUUCUCAGCUCUACAACUGGGCGAAAAGUUGAAAAAAAAAAAGAAAAUUAGAAUCAUAUUCUAAUAGUUGAAAUUCACAAAUAUUGGUCUCUUUACAUUUGGGUUGGCCUAAAAUCCAAAUAGUAGAAUAUAUAUAUAUAUAUAAUAUAUUAUAUAUAUAUAUAUAUAUAUGUAGAGUUGAGCUAGAAUAUCUCCAAAGCACCAUGAAGGUGGUCUUUUGAGUUUUUAGCCAUUGGUUGGGAGAGAUGUGAGGCUGAGAUGAUAGUAGUAAGGUGGUGUGUAGGUGAAAUAGUGUUUGAUCCAUAGGCUAUUAGUAAUCAAGGAGUAGAUCCAAGGGUUAGAAACUUAGAAGCACAAGGGGUUUGGUGGUCUAAAGUAUUCUAGCUCAAUUCUAUACAUAUAUAUAUAUAUAUUAUAUAUAUAUAUAUAUAUAUAAUUGAGCUCCUAUGUUUUUAAAAGUACCAAGUUAUUGAUGCUUGUAGAUUUUUGGCCAUUCUGAUUAAGAGAUGUGAGGUUAGGAUGAUGUGGGUCUCUCCUAGGGUUGAGUGGGUGGUUGGUUGAAUAGUAUAAUCUAACGCGUGAAAUGAUCAAGACGUAGAUUCUAACGGUAAAAAUUCACAACGCUCCAAGAACUUGGUGUGUUUUACAAGCACCAAUAGCCGCAGACUCCAUAUAUAUAUAUAUAUAAUAUAAUAUAAUAUAUAUAUAUAUAUAUUAUAUAUAUAUAUAUAGAGUAGGGCUACUAUACUUAUGAGUAUUGGGCCCUUUGUACUCAUAACUUGUUUCGAUGAUGGAGCUCCGAAUCGACGAUCCAUCUGUUAAAUAUGAUCAAGAGAUUUGAACUUCUAGAAAAUCAUUCGUAAUUUUCGAAAUCAUAUAAAGUCCAUCAAGCGGGCAUAAAAUGAACGGUCAAAAUCGAACGAUGUCUUAAAAAUGGAUGAUCGGAUCCUUCAAUUUAAGAUCAGAAGUUAUUGAUCUUUAUCUAGUAGUGAUAGAAUUUUCUAUAAAAAUUCAACCUAUUCGGAUUCUUUUGCACCGUUAAACUAGCAAGUAUUCCAUACCGGCUAUUAAAAAUUGUCAAUUUUGUGAGCUUUUGAUUGUAAGGUAAAUGAUGUCGAAAAAUUAUGAAAUUUGAUUUCUAAAUGUUUCAAAUGCUCUAGAUAACGUUUAACGGUGUGGAUCGUCGAUUCGGAAGCUCUAUCAUCGAAAUAACUUAUGAGUACGAGAGCGAUCGUACUCAUGAGAGUAGAGUAGCCGGACUCUCUCUCUCUCUCUCUCUCUCUCUAUAUAUAUAUAUAUAUAUAUAUAUAUAUAUAUAUUUAUUUUAGCUAUAUCGAGCCGAACACGAGUGAACUAACCCCAUCUCGUGUUCGGCUCGUUAAGAUUUUGAGCUGAAAAAUUUAGCUUGUGUUCGGCUUGUUUAUUAAACGAGCGAUCGAUUUUGAGUUCAUUUCGAGUGGAAGACGAGUUAGCUCGCAAACAGCAAGCUGGACUGCCAGCCCUAGUCUGCAUGAGUUCUUGUAUGUGUGCGCAUGUACGAUUAGAACAUUUGUGUGUUUAAUCUUUGAUUAGAACAUUAAUAUUUGAAUCUAAAGUACUAAGUAGUCACAGCCGGAUGGUUAAGAACCUGAUAUUCAAGUUGUUAGUGGAUUAGUUGGAACACAUUAAGUAGCAAAUUGUGGUGUUUAGAAUCUGAAAAAUAAGCCUUAAGAUGCUGAAUUAACUAAUUAGGAUAUAAAAAGAUGAAUUCCAACCCAUUGUUGCUAGGAGUGUCCUGGCCCCUUUGCUUGCCUGAAAUGAAUCAUAUGAAAUAAUCAUGAAUAAACAAAUGUACAUUGACAUAUGAGCGAAGGAAAUACAAUAAAAAGGUCUGCAAUCUGCAAAUAAAAUUAUGAUAUUUUCUUAUACUAGUAAGGGUUCGCUUGCGAUGCACGAGUCUACAUGUAAAGAUAAGUUUAACCUACGUGAAAUAGAAAUAAUUAGAGAACUAGCUAAUAAUAUCCUGAGGUAGAAUAGCUGCUAAUCCAAAUUCCACUAAAACAGUGUUUAGUUAUGGACAAAAAUUCUAGAAUUAUUUUAAGAAGAGUUGAGGAUGAGGGAGAGUGGAUCAAAUCCAACUCGACUUGAAUUAGUUGAACAGUUGAAGUAAUUUUGGCCAGUAAGCUUAUUAUCUGUUUUUUGCAUGAGUAAAGUUACUCUCAUCUUCCAUGAAAGAGUAAUCUCCAAUAUAUAUAGAAGUUGAAAUAGCUAUUGAAUUAUAAUUCUCUCACAUACUAACCAGUUGAUGCUCAACUUCUUCAUGUGCUUCAACAGCAAGAUGGUGGAGAGUAAAAGAGAAAGCUAGGAGAAGAGUAAGUAGAAUGAGUUGAGUAGUAGCCAUGGCAAUAGAGAGGAGAAAGAAGUAUAGAAUGGACUUUUUGUUAGUGGGGAAGUGAAUGGUGUGGUAUUUAAAAGAGAGUGGGAGCGGUGGUAACCAUGAUGAAGCUUCUGCUGUAGGGUUAUGGGAUGCACCAAAAAAGUAGAGAGGAUGAAGCAUUCUAUAUUUGUGCACUAGGGUGGCAAAUUUAGCAAAUAGGAUAAGUGGGGCCCUUUAGAUUGUUUAUGCUUUAGAUGAUGGGAGGCCACUUGUAGUGGUUGCUAUAAUUUUUUGCUUAGCUUGUGAUGAUUGCUUGGGUCUAACUCAUGGGGUGGAGAAUUAUGCUUGCUUGAGAAAGAUGUUCUUGUAAUUUGAUCUUAAAUUAAAUUUAAUAGGGACGAAAAUAUUAGUUCUGCUAUCGAUUACGACGGUACCAAGAUCUACUGUUUAGCCAGCCAUGAGCUUCAGUUCUUUAAAACUAGUUUCCCCUCGAAAAUUGUUCGAAGUUGCUCUUCGCAUCCCCUAAUUUUUUUUUAAUAUUAUAAUAUCGUGUUUCAUGCAUUUAUUUUGUAUUUUGAACUAUUAGGCAUUUUCUGUAUCAAAUUUUAGAUGACAUUUUAUAAAAAUUAAACUAUAGAUUGCAUGAUAUUAAGAAUUUCAAAUGGCUCGCUUAGGGUUCGAGCUUGCUCGAUUUGAAGUUAGGCUCGCUCCAGCUCGGCUCGAAUUAAUUUCAAGCUGAACUUGAGCCUAAAUUUAGGCUCAAAAUAAUUUCAUGCCAAGCUUGAGUUGAGGUAAGCUUGCUAAAGCUCGGCUCGUUUCCAUCCCUAGGGAAGGCCGACCAGAUCAGGGCGUUGACCAAGCCGGUUUCUUCUUCGGGACGCGAGUCGGCUCCUAGGAUGACCCUUGAGUGCGCCACUAGCGAACCAAGUGAAUCGGUUGAUGAGGGAUUGGCUCAACUGGGUUCUUCUGCCACUAUUCACAAUUGACCCAAAACAGACUCGGCUGAAUGAGCCAACCGUUAUAUUUAUCGAGAAAGCAGAAUUAUAAGUGCUGUUAUAGAAAUAAAGUCUACUCCUACUUAACCACGCCGUUAACUAUGCUCUUAAAAAGAGAAGUUAACAAGAAAAUUAUAGACUAUCUCUAAGAAAACUGUAAAUGUCGAAAAGAAAGAAAUUGAAAUUUGCUGUGAUCUCUUGCUCGUGUGAAUGACCCAUUUUAUAGACCUGUUUUUUUCCUAUUUAUAACGAUAUCUUCUCCCGCUUGCCAUUAUUGGGUUAAUCUCAUCGUGGAGGUUUCUUCGGCUAUAUUCUGAUUUCCUUAGGUUAUGCUUCGGCCGACUUCUUGCUGGUCACGAAAUCCUUCCUCCACGUCUUCAACCACUCUUGCCUAAACCACCUUUCCAUUUUAGGCGUUCUCCUCCCGGCUCCGGAUGUACCACGUGUCGCUUUCUGUCUCGCUUCCGUCACUUUACUCAUAUGGCUUGGGCUGCUCUACCAAGUGGCGCCAUUUUUAUGGCGCUAAUGCAAUAUAAAGUAUCAAGCUCCAGUUGCAUUUGCCUUUAUCCAAUUAUAAGUGGAAGAUUCUAAACUUUAUUGCUG